Molecule: long non-coding RNA, 836 nt
Organism: Anas platyrhynchos (mallard)
Lineage: Eukaryota; Metazoa; Chordata; Aves; Anseriformes; Anatidae
Source: RefSeq, a predicted model, not a curated record
CAAACACUCGCCAGGAGGUAGAUAAUGGGGAGUGUGAUCUCCUCCAUUUGUACACAGACAGCGCUUUGGCACCGGCGCUGCCUUGAACCGGCGUCAAACCCCGCGGAUGGCCGGACCCCGUCGCCGUCCCCGGGCCCCGCCGCUCCCCGGGGCUGGGAAGCCCCCUCCGCGGGGAAUUAAGAUUCAUGACAUGCAAACAGCGAGGGCACAUUAGCUCCUCUCUCCCCCUUCACACCGACAGGAGAUAAAACUCUGGAGAACCGGAAUAAAACAAACUGCUACUCCUCUCAGAAGGAACAUGCAGCCAGGUCGCAAUUAAAUAUACAGAUACACGAGCUGUUAGCAAGACUUCACCCUCGUAGCCGAAUCUGAAAGCAGCCGAGCCGGGGAAAUGAUGACCCUGUCACUUAUUCCUCAGACUUAAAAUGCGUCCAAACUCGCCGGCAGAGCCCGCGGCUCUCGCUCGGGGGCUCUCUUUUGUCGGCGCCCCUCGCCCUGCCCACGGCGGCUCCGGGGCUCUCCUCUUCCUCUUCUUCCUCCUCCGGCAGAGAUGGGAAGGGGCGAACCUGAUCGCAGCGCUUCACUGUCACCUUUCGGAGCAGAAGAAAAGCAAGACAGCGCUACGCAGAGUGCGAAUGAAAACCCAGUGCCAGUUUCAAAGGCUCUCCUGCUCCUACAACAGUGUACUCAGGAAGGGGAUCGUGCUGUCUUAACGUUACUAAGCUGAACUGUUUCAAUUACAGAGCUGUAAAUAAAGAUAUAGCUUAUUUUAUAGAUCUAAUUAUUCAGUUUUUACAAAAUUUUCAUCAGGAAAAAAAUAUAGUAUUGAUACACAG